Molecule: ribosomal RNA, 123 nt
Filed under: Cadophora sp. Js_6446
Lineage: Eukaryota; Fungi; Ascomycota; Leotiomycetes; Helotiales; Ploettnerulaceae
Description: partial 28S ribosomal RNA
Source: RNAcentral
UAAUACUCUUCGCGAUUGACUCCGGUAGGUAUACGUGCCAUCUACGCCCACAUAUCAGGGGAUGGACCUCGGAUCAGGUAGGGAUACCCGCUGACUUAAGCAUAUCAAAAGGGGAGAGAGAAA